RNAcentral lists this ribosomal RNA (800 nucleotides) under Bacillus tequilensis. RNAcentral's name for it is "bacterial SSU rRNA". It matches the Rfam family "Bacterial small subunit ribosomal RNA", at positions 30 to 815 of the family's 1533-position model. Lineage: Bacteria; Bacillati; Bacillota; Bacilli; Caryophanales; Bacillaceae. The record is from RNAcentral.
UCGACGUGCGGCGUGCCUAUACAUGCAAGUCGAGCGGACAGAUGGGAGCUUGCUCCCUGAUGUUAGCGGCGGACGGGUGAGUAACACGUGGGUAACCUGCCUGUAAGACUGGGAUAACUCCGGGAAACCGGGGCUAAUACCGGAUGGUUGUUUGAACCGCAUGGUUCAAACAUAAAAGGUGGCUUCGGCUACCACUUACAGAUGGACCCGCGGCGCAUUAGCUAGUUGGUGAGGUAACGGCUCACCAAGGCAACGAUGCGUAGCCGACCUGAGAGGGUGAUCGGCCACACUGGGACUGAGACACGGCCCAGACUCCUACGGGAGGCAGCAGUAGGGAAUCUUCCGCAAUGGACGAAAGUCUGACGGAGCAACGCCGCGUGAGUGAUGAAGGUUUUCGGAUCGUAAAGCUCUGUUGUUAGGGAAGAACAAGUACCGUUCGAAUAGGGCGGUACCUUGACGGUACCUAACCAGAAAGCCACGGCUAACUACGUGCCAGCAGCCGCGGUAAUACGUAGGUGGCAAGCGUUGUCCGGAAUUAUUGGGCGUAAAGGGCUCGCAGGCGGUUUCUUAAGUCUGAUGUGAAAGCCCCCGGCUCAACCGGGGAGGGUCAUUGGAAACUGGGGAACUUGAGUGCAGAAGAGGAGAGUGGAAUUCCACGUGUAGCGGUGAAAUGCGUAGAGAUGUGGAGGAACACCAGUGGCGAAGGCGACUCUCUGGUCUGUAACUGACGCUGAGGAGCGAAAGCGUGGGGAGCGAACAGGAUUAGAUACCCUGGUAGUCCACGCCGUAAACGAUGAGUG